AGCCAGACUCCUACGGGAGGCAGCAGUGGGGAAUAUUGCACAAUGGGGGAAACCCUGAUGCAGCAACGCCGCGUGAGUGAAGAAGUAUUUCGGUAUGUAAAGCUCUAUCAGCAGGGAAGAAGAAGGACGGUACCUGACUAAGAAGCCCCGGCUAACUACGUGCCAGCAGCCGCGGUAAUACGUAGGGGGCGAGCGUUAUCCGGAUUUACUGGGUGUAAAGGGAGCGUAGACGGUUAAUCAAGUCUGAAGUGAAAGCCCGCGGCUCAACUGCGGAACGGCUUUGGAAACUGUGCAGCUGGAGUGCAGGAGAGGUAAGCGGAAUUCCUAGUGUAGCGGUGAAAUGCGUAGAUAUUAGGAGGAACACCAGUGGCGAAGGCGGCUUACUGGACUGUAACUGACGUUGAGGCUCGAAAGCGUGGGGAGCAAACAGGAUUAGAUACCCCCGUA
RNAcentral lists this ribosomal RNA (447 nucleotides) under uncultured bacterium. Its description in RNAcentral is "bacterial SSU rRNA". It matches the Rfam family "Bacterial small subunit ribosomal RNA", at positions 329 to 792 of the family's 1533-position model. The record is from RNAcentral.